GUCAAUGCCUACCCUGAAGGAGCCCGAUCUCGUCUGAUCUCGGAAGCUAAGCAGGGUCGAGCCUGGUUAGUACUUGGAUGGGAGAUCGCCUGGGAAUACCAGGUACCGUAGGCU
RNAcentral lists this ribosomal RNA (114 nucleotides) under Castor canadensis (American beaver). Lineage: Eukaryota; Metazoa; Chordata; Mammalia; Rodentia; Castoridae. The record is from RNAcentral.